AGGGCGCAUGGCGGAUGCCUUGGCUCUCGGAGGCGAUGAAGGACGUGAUAAGCUGCGAUAAGCUUUGGGGAGGUGCAAAUGACCUUUGAUCCAGAGAUUUCCGAAUGGGACAACCCAAUAUCUUGAAGAGGUAUUAUCCAACGUUGUUGGAGGCUAACGCAGGGAACUGAAACAUCUUAGUACCUGCAGGAAAAGAAAAUAAACAAUGAUUCCCCCAGUAGUGGCGAGCGAACGGGGAACAGCCCAAACCAUCCAUGUUACGGCAUGGGUGGGGUUGUAGGACUACGCCGUUGCAUGAAGACAUCAGAGAAGAACUUUCUGGAAAGAAAGACCAUAGAGCAUGACAGUUGCGUAUUCGAAUGUUGUCGAAGCAUAGUAGUAUCCUGAGUAGCGCGGAGCACGAGGAAUUCUGCGUGAAUCUGCCGGGACCAUCCGGUAAGGCUAAAUACUCCCGAGAGACCGAUAGCGAACCAGUACCGUGAGGGAAAGGUGAAAAGCACUUCGAACAGAAGAGUGAAAUAGUUCCUGAAACCGUGCGCCUACAAGCGGUCGGAGCUCGUUAAUGAGUGACGGCGUGCCUUUUGCAUAAUGAACCUACGAGUUGCCUUUGCCGGCAAGGUUAAGUGUGACGACACACGUAUCCGAAGCGAAAGCGAGUCUGAACAGGGCGUAUAGUCGGCAGUGGCAGACGCGAAACCAAGUGAUCUACCCUUGGCCAGGUUGAAGGCUGGGUAACACCAGCUGGAGGACCGCACCAAUAAGCGUUGAAAAGCUUCUGGAUGAGCUGAGGGUAGGGGUGAAAGGCUAAUCAAACUUGGAGAUAGCUCGUACUCCCCGAAAUGCAUUUAGGUGCAGCCUUGCGGGUUACUGAUGUGAGGUAGAGCGACUGAUAAGAUGCGAGGGCUUCACCGCCUAUCAAGUCUUGACAAACUCCGAAUGCGCAUCAGUUCUACCGCAGGAGUGAGGGCAUGGGUGCUAAGGUCCGUGCCCGAGAGGAGAAGAAUCCGGACCACCUGCUAAGGUCCCGAAAUGACAGCUAAGUUAAACUAACGAAGUCUGACUGCUAAGACAGCUAGGAUGUUGGCUUGGAAGCAGCCAUUCAUUUAAAGAGUGCGUAACAGCUCACUAGUCGAGGAGUCGGGCGUGGAUAAUAAUCGGGUAUGAAGUUGUCUACCGAAGCAGUGGGAUCAUUUAUAUGAUCGGUAGGGGAGCAUUCCAGUCGGCGUCGAAGGCGUACCGUGAGGUAUUCUGGAGCGUCUGGAAAAGCAAAUGUAGGUAUAAGUAACGAUAAAGGGGGCGGGAAACCCCCUCGCCGAAAGACUAAGGUUUCCUGAUCAACGCUAAUCGGAUCAGGGUCAGUCGGGUCCUAAGGCUCAGCCGAACGGCGAUGCCGAUGGCAGAAACGGUUAAUAUUCCGUUACUACCUUCAGGAGUGACGUGGAGACGCAGUAGUGACAGUGCCGCCAUCUGACGGAAUAGAUGGUUGAAGGGUGUAGGAGUCGAUCAUGGCAGGCAAAUCCACCAUGAGAUCCGAACCUGACAGUAUGCCGCGUCCUUCGGGACAAGGCAAUAGUGCGCGUAAGCAUGCUGCCGAGAAAAUCCGCUAAACUUAAUCCUGCAGGUACCCGUACCGCAAACGGACACACGUAGUCGGGAUGAAUAUUCUAAGGCGCUUGAGUGAUUCACGGUUAAGGAACUAGGCAAACUGACCCUGUAACUUCGGGAUAAAGGGUCCCUACCCUUUUAUGGGAGGGCGCAGAGAAUCGGUCCAGGCAACUGUUUAACAAAAACACAGGGCUGUGCCAAAUCGAAAGAUCCAGUAUACAGCCUGACACCUGCCCGGUGCUGGAAGGUUAAGAGGAGAUGUCAUCGAUAAGAGAAGCGUUGAAUUGAAGCCCCAGUAAACGGCGGCCGUAACUAUAACGGUCCUAAGGUAGCGAAAUUCCUUGUCGGGUAAGUUCCGACCUGCACGAAUGGUGUAAUGAUCUGGACGCUGUCUCAACCGUGAGCUCAGUGAAAUUGUAGUAUCGGUGAAGAUGCCGAUUACCCGCGAUGGGACGAAAAGACCCCGUGAACCUUUACUAUAGCUUAUCAUUGAAUCUGGGCACGUGAUGUGUAGGAUAGGUCGGAGGCUUUGAAGCAGGUACGCCAGUAUUUGUGGAGCCGCUGUUGAAAUACGACCCUUUAUUUGUUUGGAUUCUAACCCGUGGAACGGGGACAUUGAUUGGUGGGUAGUUUGACUGGGGUGGUCGCCUCCAAAAGCGUAACGGAGGCUUCUAAAGGUGCCCUCCGGCCGAUUGGUAACCGGCCUUAGAGUGUAAUGGCAUAAGGGCGCUUGACUGGGAGACUGACAAGUCGAUCAGGUAGGAAACUAGAGCAUAGUGAUCCGGUGUUUCCGCAUGGAAGGGACAUCGCUCAAAGGAUAAAAGGUACUCCGGGGAUAACAGGCUGAUC
RNAcentral lists this ribosomal RNA (2454 nucleotides) under human gut metagenome. RNAcentral describes it as "bacterial LSU rRNA". It matches the Rfam family "Bacterial large subunit ribosomal RNA", at positions 14 to 2487 of the family's 2925-position model. The record is from RNAcentral.